Molecule: long non-coding RNA, 261 nt
Organism: Fundulus heteroclitus (mummichog)
Lineage: Eukaryota; Metazoa; Chordata; Actinopteri; Cyprinodontiformes; Fundulidae
Exons: 3
Source: RefSeq, a predicted model, not a curated record
GAGAGAUUUACGGAACUUUGGACUUUACUUACUGCUUUAGAAUAAAGACGGACAAGCUAUGGGUCCGGAAAAAAUCUUACCGUUGCUACUAAUACUAACAGCUAGAGCUGCUCCAAACAUGUCAUUAUCUUAUUCAACCACAACAGCUGAAACAAGCAGUACAGCUGCUCAAUUCACAACCAACGCUGAUCAGACGACAGCAGCUACAAAUACUCCAACCACAACUACUGCUACACACACAACUACUACAGCUUCACCCAC